GACGAACGCUGGCGGCGUGCCUAAUACAUGCAAGUCGAGCGGAGCGUCGGACGGGUGAGUAAUUCCUAUGAAUCUGCCUGGUAGUGGGUGUUAACGUCCGGAACCGGUCGCUAAUUUCGCAUACUAUCCGUUGACCCUAGGUCGGAUUGGCUAGUUGGUGGGGUAAAGGCCUACCAAGUCGACGAUCCGUAACUGGUCUGAGAGGAUGAUCAGGCACACUGGAACUGAGACACGGUCCAGGAGCCUACGGGAGGCGGCAGUGGGGAAGGUUGGAGAAUGGGCGAAGGCCUGAUCCAGCGAUGCCGCGUGUGUGAAGAAGGACUUAAGAUUGUAAAGCACUUUAAGUUGGGAGGCGUUCCCAACAGAUUAAGCACCGGCUAACUGCGUGCCAGCAGCCGCGGUAAUUC
RNAcentral lists this ribosomal RNA (407 nucleotides) under uncultured bacterium. Its description in RNAcentral is "partial 16S ribosomal RNA". It matches the Rfam family "Bacterial small subunit ribosomal RNA", at positions 28 to 526 of the family's 1533-position model. The record is from RNAcentral.